GUGUCUAUAGCGGUCAGAGCCAGGUUUUCAGGUCAGAUGGGGUCUGCUUUGCCAUUGAAUAAUAAUGAAUUAAAUUUUUGCUUCAGGGCUUUUGCAAGAUUGAAGUAGAGUUUUCACAAUUCUAAGAUUCACUAGAUUCUGCAUGCCUUCAGCUAUACAUGAAAUUUAAAGACACUUAUGGGCACUGCAUUCCAUCUGUUGUGAUAUGUUGCUUUGGUUGAAGUCUGUGGAGGAAAUCUAGCUGCACAUGGCUAUGUAUCCAAUAGUUGAAAAAGGAGGACCUCAAAGACCUUCUGACAGGGUGUCAGGAUGGCCCAAAACCAGACUUUGAAAACUGCUCUUCUAGAGACUGGGAGGAAGCAAAGAGCCAGAUGUUGAACUGGAUUCUACUGAAUAGAUUUCUCAUGACUUACUGAAGGAAAAAUAGAACUUAGCUGAAGUCUCUAGAAAAGAGCCCCACUUAAAAGAUGAACUCCAAAAGACAGCUUCUGCAAAAAGCGAUAUAGAAGACUUUGAGAUGGUCUGAAACAGCCCUGAAGGUGUAGCUGAGAAGUUAACCCUUUAAAAACAUGAACAUUUUGAAACAGAUUUAUUUUUCCAGCCAAUGUGUUGACUGGUUUUUUUUUUUGUUUUUUUUUGUUUUUUUUUUUUACAAAAAGUUCAACCUUCAUGAUUUUCAGCAAUUAUGGGGUGUAUUAUGGAGCAUUGCAUAGCAAGAGAUUGUAAUAAUGUGAAGUCUUGACACAAGGUUCAAGGAUUCAAUGAUAUUCUGUGGUAGCCAGAAUAAAAAGAUCCCCUGAUAACCCCUGUUAUCACCCUCCUGUUGAGCGUGACUGGAACCUCAGACACGAUGAGAGAUCACUCUUAUGACUGUCCUGUUGUACGGCAUAAAGAACUUUGCAGAUGUAAUCAAGGUCCCUAAUUAGCUGAGUUAAUCAAAAGGGCCAUUAUCGGGUAGAUCUGACCUAAUGGGCUGAGCCUUUAAAAGAGGGCUGCAGGUGGCUUCUAGGAGAUGAAAGUGGACCCCAUCUGGAAGUCAAUAAAAGAACAGGGGGCUGAGUCAUACAUCUACAAGGAAUUGAAUUCUGCCAACAACCACGUGAGUUUGAGAACCCCUAGCUCCAGAAAGGAACUCAGCCCAGCUGACACCUUGAUUUCUGCCUUAUGAGACUCUGAGUGAAGGACCCAGCUUGAGCCACGCCUGGACUUCUGAUCUACAGAAAUGCUGGUGCAAUAAACAGGUGUUGUUUUAAGCUGUUAAUUGUGUGGAAAUUUGUUAUGCAGCAAUAGGAACCUAACAUACAUUCCGAUAAGUAUUUUUAUGUUUCAUGGCCUAUCUUAACUGAAGCUUGGAACCUUCCUGGAUUUCCCCAUAAUCAUGAAUUGCAAUGACAAUACAAGAAAGGAGGCUAAUGAUCAAAGCAAUUCUGUAGCAUUGCCAUACAGGGAACCACACACGUUGUCCCUCUUGGGUGGCUUACAGAUAUUGUUUAAAAAAGUCACU
RNAcentral lists this long non-coding RNA (1504 nucleotides) under Homo sapiens (human). Its description in RNAcentral is "HSALNT0193729". Lineage: Eukaryota; Metazoa; Chordata; Mammalia; Primates; Hominidae. The record is from RNAcentral.